CCGUAACGUUGGGUGCUAGACGUGGGGGCCUUCCACGGUUUCCGUGUCGUAGCUAACGCAUUAAGCACCCCGCCUGGGGGAGUACGGCCGCAAGGCUAAAACUCAAAGGAAUUGACGGGGGCCCGCACAAGCGGCGGAGCAUGCGGAUUAAUUCGAUGCAACGCGAAGAACCUUACCAAGGCUUGACAUAUAGAGGAAACGGCCAGAGAUGGUCGCCCCGCAAGGUCUCUAUACAGGUGGUGCAUGGUUGUCGUCAGCUCGUGUCGUGAGAUGUUGGGUUAAGUCCCGCAACGAGCGCAACCCUUGUCCUAUGUUGCCAGCGGUUCGGCCGGGAACUCAUGGGAGACUGCCGUGGUCAACACGGAGGAAGGUGGGGAUGACGUCAAAUCAUCAUGCCCCUUAUGUCUUGGGCUUCACGCAUGCUACAAUGGCCGGUACAGAGGGCUGCGAUACCGCGAGGUGGAGCGAAUCCCUUAAAGCCGGUCUCAGUUCGGAUUGGGGUCUGCAACUCGACCCCAUGAAGUCGGAGUCGCUAGUAAUCGCAGAUCAGCAACGCUGCGGUGAAUACGUUCCCGGGCCUUGUACACACCGCCCGUCAAGUCACGAAAUU
RNAcentral lists this ribosomal RNA (610 nucleotides) under uncultured bacterium. RNAcentral's name for it is "bacterial SSU rRNA". It matches the Rfam family "Bacterial small subunit ribosomal RNA", at positions 800 to 1411 of the family's 1533-position model. The record is from RNAcentral.